CGAAAGAGCAGAAAAAAGCAACACAGGAUAGAGACAAGCAAUUUCAUUUGAAAUUGAUCAAUCGUGGCGAUACGACUGAACGUUGGAAGAUCUUUAAAAGCAUCUUUUGAACAGACAAAGAAAGAGGUGUGGCUAAUAUACUAAUCGGGCUAAUGUGUUAGACCAGCAAGCUCUGAACCUACGAACAGUCAUCAGCCGCCUGUCUUCUGUGUCGGAAGGAAGAAACAUACCUGGUCAGGUAUCAGGAACUGGAGAGAUCACAUCUGACUUGGAAGUUGUGCUUGUGCAUGCCAACAAUUGGACAGUGGUGCCGGUCAAAGCAAAGAAAGAAUAGGUAAACAGGUUCACUCCAUGAUAGCAUCCAAGAAUGUGCACUAAGUACAUUGAUAUCAACAAGGAAACCCACUUGUUACUAAUUUCAUUGUUGAUCCAGCUGAUCCAGAGCUGAUGCCUCUACAAUAGCCCCUCAUCCACACCCUGCAGCUGCGGAUAAUACAAGAGAGCAAAGAUCAAUGGCAAGCAAGCGGGAGGCAAUUGGUAGAUUCACUAAAUGAGUAAAUAGACAAGACAAGACAAGACAUAUUUAUUCAGACUUGCACAGUGCACAUCGUCUAAACACUAUAAAUUUCACAAUCAAAUAUAUCACAGAAAUAAACAUAGUGAAAAUGUAAA
Molecule: long non-coding RNA, 672 nt
Organism: Dreissena polymorpha
Lineage: Eukaryota; Metazoa; Mollusca; Bivalvia; Myida; Dreissenidae
Exons: 3
Source: RefSeq, a predicted model, not a curated record